Molecule: ribosomal RNA, 253 nt
Filed under: uncultured bacterium
Lineage: Bacteria
Description: partial 16S ribosomal RNA
Rfam family: Bacterial small subunit ribosomal RNA
Source: RNAcentral
GACGUAGGGCGCGAGCGUUGUCCGGAUUUGUUGGGCGUAAAGAGCUCGUAGGCGGCUUGUCGCGUCGUUCGUGAAAACUCACAGCUCAACUGUGAGCUUGCGGUCGAUACGGGCAGGCUAGAGUGCGGUAGGGGAGAAUGGAACUCCUGGUGUAGCGGUGGAAUGCGCAGAUAUCAGGAAGAACACCGAUGGCGAAGGCAGUUCUCUGGGCCGUAACUGACGCUGAGGAGCGAAAGCGUGGGGAGCGAACAGG